RNA transcript from Manihot esculenta (cassava), 1512 nucleotides. It is a transcript of the gene named 7-methyl-GTP pyrophosphatase, with no coding region annotated. NCBI's taxonomy places the organism in Eukaryota, Viridiplantae, Streptophyta, Magnoliopsida, Malpighiales, Euphorbiaceae. The record is from RefSeq and is a predicted model, not a curated record. The transcript is spliced from 11 exons.
AUUCCUUUGUUUUGAUCGCAUAAAAAUGAGAAGCUCUCUACCCAGCAACGACGACGUUUUCCAAAGCCAAGGUAAUGAUAAUAUUCUUGCUCAUGUUCUGUUUUGCUUGGUGAAGAGCAGGAGAAGCGAACGUCCACUGUGUUUGGUGACUGCACAUAUCUAUUGCUUGGGAUACUUGCAUGCCAUGAUGCGUCUUGCUUCUUUGACAACUAUGUUAACAGCUCCUAUUGUCCGUGUAGCAUCCCUAAGAAAGUGUAGCUUGCAAGAGAGGGAGAUGGAUAUGUGCAAAUCCUCAUAUAAGAUAAUAUUGGGUUCAUCAUCCAUGGCUCGGCGGCAAAUUCUAGCUGAGAUGGGAUAUGAGUUCUCGAUUAUGACUGCAGAUAUAGAUGAGAAGAGCAUAAGGAAAGAGAAGCCAGAGGAAUUGGUUAUGGCUUUGGCUCAUGCCAAGGCAGAUGCUAUCAUAACAAGGCUCCAAUCUUUGGGUCAUUUGGAAGAGAAUGCUCGUGCAACCUUGUUGAUUACAGCAGACACAGUGGUCUUGUACAAAGGGAUGAUUAGAGAAAAGCCAACCAGCAAGGAAGAAGCAUGGAAUUUCAUCAAAGGAUAUUCCGGUGGUCAUGCAGCAGUUAUAGGAUCCGUACUAGUAAGUAACCUUACUACAGGAACAAGAAAAGGGGCAUGGGAGACAGCAGAGGUUUAUUUCCAUGAGAUACCAGAUGAGGUUAUUGAUAGUCUGAUUGAGGAGGAAGUUACAUUCAAGGUGGCUGGGGGUCUUAUGCUAGAGCACCCACUGACCUCACCUUUUGUUGAAGCAGUGGUUGAGGAAUUGAUUGUUUGGUCACCAAGUUUAGUAUCCAUUUCAUCUCACCGUCGGCACAAGGAGAGGCAUAGUAUCAUUUUCAGCCGUUCCUCAGAAAACAGUGAUAGGAGCUUCUACGAGUGGUGCUCAUGCGCCGAUCUAAGUUUUGGCCCCAAUUUCAUGCGACGGCGCGUGGGAGCACGUAUGACGUCCGUUUGACCUCCGAUUUAUUCCCCGAUGAUUGCAUGGUCAUUUCCGGUGCAUUUCUGGUGGAACUUCAGCCCUCUGAUGUUGAUUAGAAAGUGUUAUUAAGUGGCAGCCUACUGUUCAUUGGGUUACUAUUCACUAGGUAGGGAGUACUGACACAGUGAUGGGACUUUCAACAUCUCUUACUGAAAAACUCAUUGCUGAAGCCCUAUAGAAUUUGUCUUGAUUUAAAGCUGUUUGAUUUGAUGUAAAGGAAAAGGAAGUUUUGCCCAACAAUUGGGUUGCCCCAAAUCAAAUGGCGUCUUGAUGAGCAAAACAUAUGAUUGAACAGAUAAUAUUGACUGUUUUUUUGGGAAGUCAGGUGAAUUCAAAUCCAAUCCUUAUUUUCUUGUGCGGAGUUUGAGCUUUAUUCUAUCAAUGGCUUGAUUUUUUUGUCCCAUAACAAUUUAUUUUCCUGCAAACAAAAUGAUACAUAUUGAAUCUAAUGUGUAUCUACUAUUUAUUAC